Molecule: long non-coding RNA, 270 nt
Filed under: Prunus persica (peach)
Lineage: Eukaryota; Viridiplantae; Streptophyta; Magnoliopsida; Rosales; Rosaceae
Description: long non-coding RNA (PPER_LNC006156)
Source: RNAcentral
CUUGACUCGCACGUCAUCUGGAAUGGCAGACGCAUAAGCAGCCCGCCACUUCUGGAACUGAGCGUCAGUCGUGACGCGGUGCAAGUUGGCCACGAACUUCUUGCUGUGCACUAUGGAGCCUCCCCAUAAAUACAAAGGGACCUGAGAACUUGGAGUCUUGCUACCAUCUCCGGAAGACAUGGUUGAUCAACAAGUAGCUGCAAAAAGAAAAAAAUUCUACAUGUUAGAAUGCAAAAAACUCAAGAACUCAAGAAGAAAGGAAAAAUUCUC